UACGUAGGGUGCGAGCGUUGCCCGGAUUUAUUGGGCGUAAAGGGCGCGUAGGCGGUGAGAUGCGUCUGUUGUGAAAUCGCUCGGCUCAACUGGGGCGGGGGUCAGCGGAUACGGUCUCACUUGACAAGCUAGGGGGGCAAUGGAAAUUCCCCGGUGUAGUGGUGGGAAUGCGUAGAUAUCGGGGAGGAACACCAGUGGCG
This 200-nucleotide ribosomal RNA is filed under the name uncultured bacterium. RNAcentral's name for it is "partial 16S ribosomal RNA". It matches the Rfam family "Bacterial small subunit ribosomal RNA", at positions 524 to 717 of the family's 1533-position model. The record is from RNAcentral.